GACGAACCGAGCGAACGUUGUUCGGAAUCACUGGGCUUACAGGGUGCGUAGGCGGCUUAGCAAGUCAGGUGUGAAAGCCCCCGGCUCAACCGGGGAACUGCGCUUGAAACUGCUGAGCUCGAGUCAGCUAGAGGUACACGGAACUUCCAGUGGAGCGGUGAAAUGCGUAGAGAUGUGGAGGAACACCAGUGGCGAAAGCGGCUCUCUGGUCUGUAACUGACGCUGAGGCGCGAAAGCGUGGGGAGCAAACAGG
RNAcentral lists this ribosomal RNA (253 nucleotides) under uncultured bacterium. Its description in RNAcentral is "partial 16S ribosomal RNA". It matches the Rfam family "Bacterial small subunit ribosomal RNA", at positions 524 to 776 of the family's 1533-position model. The record is from RNAcentral.